RNAcentral lists this signal recognition particle RNA (267 nucleotides) under Actinomycetes bacterium. RNAcentral's name for it is "Actinobacteria bacterium signal recognition particle sRNA large type". It matches the Rfam family "Bacterial large signal recognition particle RNA". Rfam says of the family: The signal recognition particle (SRP) is a universally conserved ribonucleoprotein involved in the co-translational targeting of proteins to membranes. Archaeal SRP consists of a 7S RNA and homologues of the eukaryotic SRP19 and SRP54 proteins. Lineage: Bacteria; Bacillati; Actinomycetota; Actinomycetes. RNAcentral also lists the same sequence under 3 other names. The record is from RNAcentral.
CCGUGCUAGGCGGGGAGCUCGUGGUGCCCUGCAUCCUCAAUCCACGUACGAGGGGCUGAACUCCCACCUGAGGCCCGGCCCGCUGAGCGUUCGGCCCCGUGCCCGGUGUCGACGGUUGGGUCCUGCGCAGCGGAGCCCCGCAAAUCGAGUCAGGUCCGGAAGGAAGCAGCUCUCCGCGGUGUCGCUCCGAGUGCCGCAGGCGAGCCUGACUUGAGCCGGGUCGGGUUACUGGCGUUCGGCGGUGUCGGGUCGACGGCGGGUGCACGG